This is a long non-coding RNA of Gasterosteus aculeatus aculeatus (three-spined stickleback), 325 nucleotides long. NCBI's taxonomy places the organism in Eukaryota, Metazoa, Chordata, Actinopteri, Perciformes, Gasterosteidae. The record is from Ensembl.
CAUUGGAGAGCUACACAGACUACAACAUUGGAUGGUGCAACUGUGACGGAGGGAAAUGACUCGUUGAAGUUCUGUGAAAACACUCCAAGUAAAACCCAUGAGUUCCAGCUGAGAGCGUCAUCUAAACAUCUGCCCGGAGGAUUCAGGACCAAGCGUCUCUGCGGAGAAAUGGCCUCCUCAGACCAGAGCAGAUACCCACCCGUCUGCAGACUCACUCCCUCCUCCGUGCACAAACGCACAAACCACAAACACGCACCAGACAGCCGCCGUCUGGCUGCUCGCAGGUUGACUUUGAGGGGUCCCCCCCCCCCUGACUGAUGUAUUG